UAUGUGUUUGGGAAAACAAGGAUCUUAAAUCAUAUACAUAAUAAAUCGGAUAGGAAACACAACACGAGUAGUUACACAAAUUGAUAUGUUGUUCAUCUACCAAACAUGAAAAACAAAAUCAUCUCUGCUGGAAAUUAAAGGAUCGAAUGCAAUAAGCAAAGAUGAAGGCGAAGAACAAAACCAGUCCAACGUGCACCCCGGCAAUAACCCCAAGAAAAUCAUGCUUGAAACCAAAAAACCGAUCCAAGUAACCUUUAACGGUUUCCCCGUUCGAUAGCUCAUCGUUAAAGUCCCCGAACUGUGAAACAACCAUGCCGUAAAUAGUCCAAGCAAGCGGGUUUCCCCAGUAGUACCAUCUCCACCACACUGGAAUGCUCUGUCGUGGAAUGAUGAAUCCCGAGAAAAGAUUGAAGAUUCCGUAGAAUGAGGCGGCAAUGAUGGCGGCGAUGCUGGCGUUGGGGGUGAUAGCGACGGUCAUCAUACCGUAAUAGGUCAUGUAGAGGAAACAACACAUUUGGAAAAAUAAAUACCAAAAGAAUUUAGCAGCAGUCCACUCGAAUCCGAUCAUGGAGUACACUAUAACACUGUACACCCCUGUCUGCACCAAAAUAUACGGGAUUUCGACCAAAACUUGAGCGAAAGCAUACGGCAGAGCAGAGUACAUUCCAGCGGCUCUUUCUCUGUAAAACACAGUUCGCUCAACAUCUACCACCGGUUGAACAGCUGAUGCGUUCUGGAUUCCUAAGAAAAGAACUGCUGCAUACAUUGAACCCAUCGCGUUAUUCAGAUCUUGUUGGGUUGC
This 802-nucleotide long non-coding RNA is filed under the name Helianthus annuus (common sunflower). RNAcentral's name for it is "sRNA HanXRQr2_Chr16g0726291". The record is from RNAcentral. Lineage: Eukaryota; Viridiplantae; Streptophyta; Magnoliopsida; Asterales; Asteraceae.